This 84-nucleotide transfer RNA is filed under the name Arcobacter sp. 31_11_sub10_T18. RNAcentral's name for it is "tRNA-Leu". It matches the Rfam family "tRNA". From Rfam's summary of the family: Transfer RNA (tRNA) molecules are approximately 80 nucleotides in length. Their secondary structure includes four short double-helical elements and three loops (D, anti-codon, and T loops). Further hydrogen bonds mediate the characteristic L-shaped molecular structure. tRNAs have two regions of fundamental functional importance: the anti-codon, which is responsible for specific mRNA codon recognition, and the 3' end, to which the tRNAs corresponding amino acid is attached (by aminoacyl-tRNA synthetases). tRNAs cope with the degeneracy of the genetic code in two manners: having more than one tRNA (with a specific anti-codon) for a particular amino acid; and 'wobble' base-pairing, i.e. permitting non-standard base-pairing at the 3rd anti-codon position. Lineage: Bacteria; Pseudomonadati; Campylobacterota; Epsilonproteobacteria; Campylobacterales; Arcobacteraceae. The record is from RNAcentral. RNAcentral also lists the same sequence under 2 other names.
GCAUCUGUGGCGGAACGGUAGACGCGCGGGCUUGAGGGGCUCGUACUUAACGGUGUGGAAGUUCAAAUCUUCUCAGGUGCACCA